UGAAUUGCAGCGACCAACCAAACAAAAUAUUAGUUUAACUAGUCAUUACAGUAAACAACAUCAUACAAAAGACGCAUGAGUUGUUCAAAAUGUGAUUACACAAAGUGAGUGAAUCAGCAAUGGAAUUGGAGGACCUCUACUCCACAUGACGGAAAUAUAUCCAUAGGCACAAGUGAAAUCACAGGAAACAUUGUACUUGCUAGCCAGAGAGCAAAGCACUUCAUGAUUUGAGUGAGUACUGAAUUUGGAGUUUAUUGCAAAGGCAAGAUAACUCCACUCCUCAGCGCCAAGAAGGAUGAGACAGUGCUAAUUAGAAAUGGAGGAACGUUAUUAGAGGAAUCGAUCACCUUUAAUAAUUAAUGGCAGAGUUCCUAUCCGAUGCUUUUCUGUCCAAGAGCUUAACAAUGCAACAAAGUACUAUGAUCAAAAUCAAGUGUUUCUUCAACAUGAAUUCUACAGAUUGUAAGGAAGUAUGAACAUGAAGAAUACCCCAAGGAUUUCAGGGUAGCAGCAUUUCAUCGCCAAAAGCAACUAAAGGCAUGGAAAGCGCCACUCAUAAAACCAUUGAAAGCAUCAGAAACAAAGUUCAUCACCACCAAAUGCUGCUGUAUGGCACAUAAAAGUUGUUGCAUGAGCAAAAGAUUCCUUCUACCCAAAAGAAAAGAUACAAUUAUGGCCAUAGGACCUGCAAAGUCACCACAUCCAGAUGACACAUUAAUGACAUGAAAAGACCACCACUCCAGAUUUCCACGAUUGAGAACAAGAUCCCCACUAACCAGAUCUACCUGCAUAAACAUAAUGUCAAACUGCUGUUUUCAAUGGUAGCUGAUCAAUUGACACUGAUGGAUUACCUUGGUUGCCAGUAUUCAUAAACAUCAAGGCAAGAGAGGAAAGCAUAGGGGAAGGAAAACAACAUACCAAAUCUUCCAAAAAUCGAACUUCACCAGAUCCAGUAACCCGGAAGUAUCUUGGAAAAACAUUAUGUAUUCUGAAGCUAUUGGCACUACCAUUUAGCACUGCCAUUAUUUCUGAAUAUGUUGGAAGAUCCUCAUCUCGAACAAUCAAUUCAUAUCUCACAACUUCCUUUCCUUUGGGCCGAUCCCUGGUUAACUGCCAGGAAAAGAUGAUGUCCAUGCUCCAUCUGAGAGAAUUCAUGUAUCCAGCCUGGACUACAGGUGGAACAAGCCACAAUGUGCUACCGUCAGCUUGGCAGCAUAUUAAUUGAAUGUCUUUCUCAUCAUAAGCACGUAAAUAACCUCCAGGAUCCAUAUCAGUAUGUGAACCAAUUUCAUCCCAUGAGAUUUUUUCACACAAUGUUGUCUCAAAUAAUGUAAGCCGCCCACUAUUUGUUCGUAUAUCAAUCCGGAUGCUGGCUUCCUUAAUAGGGUUAGCAAUGUUUGUGGGGUUACCACUGCUGUACAUCUGUCCAGCAAAUUAAGAAUAUGAAUACAAUAUUAAUAUUCUUCAGAA
Hevea brasiliensis (rubber tree) is the source of this 1470-nucleotide long non-coding RNA. RefSeq lists it as uncharacterized. The transcript is spliced from 4 exons. The record is from RefSeq and is a predicted model, not a curated record. Lineage: Eukaryota; Viridiplantae; Streptophyta; Magnoliopsida; Malpighiales; Euphorbiaceae.